AGUAGGUAAGCGAUGGAGUGACGCAGGAAGGUAGCCUCCGCGUGGCGAUGGUUGUCCACGUCCAAGCAUGUAGGGAGACAUCUAGGCAAAUCCGGAUGUCAUGUUCCUGAGAUGUGAUGGUGACCCCGUAUGGGGGAAGCAGGGUGAUCCUAUGCUGCCGAGAAAAACUUCUAGUGAGGGCU
Mobilicoccus pelagius NBRC 104925 is the source of this 182-nucleotide ribosomal RNA. It matches the Rfam family "Bacterial large subunit ribosomal RNA", at positions 1452 to 1633 of the family's 2925-position model. The record is from Rfam. NCBI's taxonomy places the organism in Bacteria, Bacillati, Actinomycetota, Actinomycetes, Micrococcales, Dermatophilaceae.